AUUGAACGCUAGCGGGAUGCCUUACACAUGCAAGUCGAACGGCAGCACGGACUUCGGUCUGGUGGCGAGUGGCGAACGGGUGAGUAAUGUAUCGGAACGUGCCCAGUAGCGGGGGAUAACUACUCGAAAGAGUAGCUAAUACCGCAUACGCCCUACGGGGGAAAGGGGGGGAUCGCAAGACCUCUCACUAUUGGAGCGGCCGAUAUCGGAUUAGCUAGUUGGUGGGGUAAAGGCCCACCAAGGCGACGAUCCGUAGCUGGUUUGAGAGGACGACCAGCCACACUGGGACUGAGACACGGCCCAGACUCCUACGGGGGGCAGCAGUGGGGAAUUUUGGACAAUGGGGGCAACCCUGAUCCAGCCAUCCCGCGUGUGCGAUGAAGGCCUUCGGGUUGUAAAGCACUUUUGGCAGGAAAGAAAUCGCACGGGCUAAUACCUCGUGUGGAUGACGGUACCUGCAGAAUAAGCACCGGCUAACUACGUGCCAGCAGCCGCAGUAA
Molecule: ribosomal RNA, 500 nt
Filed under: uncultured bacterium
Lineage: Bacteria
Description: partial 16S ribosomal RNA
Rfam family: Bacterial small subunit ribosomal RNA
Source: RNAcentral